AUCUCCUUGAUCUUUUAGGGA
This 21-nucleotide small nuclear RNA is filed under the name Arabidopsis thaliana (thale cress). RNAcentral's name for it is "snRNA_18994". The record is from RNAcentral. Lineage: Eukaryota; Viridiplantae; Streptophyta; Magnoliopsida; Brassicales; Brassicaceae.